RNAcentral lists this ribosomal RNA (444 nucleotides) under uncultured bacterium. RNAcentral describes it as "bacterial SSU rRNA". It matches the Rfam family "Bacterial small subunit ribosomal RNA", at positions 958 to 1400 of the family's 1533-position model. The record is from RNAcentral.
AACGCGAAGAACCUUACCAGCCCUUGACAUGUCCCGUAUGAGUACCAGAGAUGGAACUCUUCAGUUCGGCUGGCGGGAACACAGGUGCUGCAUGGCUGUCGUCAGCUCGUGUCGUGAGAUGUUGGGUUAAGUCCCGCAACGAGCGCAACCCUCGCCCUUAGUUGCCAUCAUUAAGUUGGGAACUCUAAGGAGACCGCCGGUGACAAACCGGAGGAAGGUGGGGAUGACGUCAAGUCAUCAUGGCCUUUAUGGCCAGGGCUACACACGUGCUACAAUGGCAGGUACAGAGGGAAGCCAACGCGCGAGCGGGAGCCAAUCCCAGAAAGCCUGUCGUAGUCCGGAUCGGAGUCUGCAACUCGACUCCGUGAAGUCGGAAUCGCUAGUAAUCGCAGAUCAGCAUUGCUGCGGUGAAUACGUUCCCGGGCUUGUACACACCGUAGAGAC